This is a long non-coding RNA of Salvelinus fontinalis (brook trout), 2507 nucleotides long. RefSeq lists it as uncharacterized. The record is from RefSeq and is a predicted model, not a curated record. NCBI's taxonomy places the organism in Eukaryota, Metazoa, Chordata, Actinopteri, Salmoniformes, Salmonidae. The transcript has 3 exons.
CUUUGAUCUUGGAUAUUGCCUACUACUGAAAACUACUAACUAACGUUUCUCCUUCUCAUCAUUUUACAUUCAGGUGAGACUGAACAUGGACAGGGCGCAGGAGAAACAGAAGGAGAGCCACCGGAGGAGAAUCAAGAAGGGGACCAAGUGCUUUGGCAUUCGGGUGAAUGACUUGGCUUGGAAGAAGGACAAAAGGAGGGUGAGACCUUGGAAACCUUGCUGCUCUUUUGCUCCUAGCUGGGGUCCCCAUCUGUUAAGGUCAUUUUACAGGGCGCUGACAGUGCACCUCCUUGCACAAAGGCGGAGGUAGCGGUCCUGCUGCUGGGUUGUUGCCCUCCUACACGUCUCCUGAUGUACUGGCCUGUCUCCUGGUAGCGCCUCCAUGCUCUGGACACUACGCUGACAGACACAGCAAACCUUUUUGCCACAGCUCGCAUUGAUGUGCCAUCCUGGAUGAACUGCACUACCUGAGCCACUUGUGUGGGUUGUAGACUCCGUCUCAUGCUACCACUAGAGUGAGAGCGCCGCCAGCAUUCAAAAGUGACCAAAACAUUAGCCAGGAAGCAUAGGAACUGAGAAGUGGUCUGUGGUCACCACCUGCAGAACCACUCCUUUUUUUGUGGGUGUCUUGCUAAUUGCCUAUAAUUUCCACCUUUUGUCUACUCCAUUUGCACAACAGCAUGUUAAAUUUAUUGUCAAUCAGUGUUGCUUCCUAAGUGGACAGUUUGAUUUCACAGAAGUGUGAUUGACUUGGAGUUACAUUGUGUUGUUUAAGUGUUCCCUUUAUUUUUUUGAGCAGUGUAUAUAUAGUUACCGAAGUCGUUCAUAGUUAGAGUCCAUAAUGCUUCAGGUAUCCUUGUUGUGGGGGGCUGUCCGAUGAAAACAAAAGAUUAGGUUUUUAAAUAGGUACACACUUUUUGUUUUUAAUGUAUAAAUAUAUUAUUUGGGGAUUUACGUCGAAAAUAGCGUGAUGGGGACGGGCUUCGUAAAGAAGACGCGGUCUCGGUUUGAACCUUAGAUUUCUCAUCUAAUGUUGGAUGAUCCAAAUACAUUAUUCUAGGUAGCAGAUGUGUCCUAUAGACGUUUAAAUGAUCCAAAACAUUUAUUCCCAGUAGCAGCUGGGUAUCCUAUAGACGUUAGAUAAUAUUAACAUAAUUAUACGAAAUAUAUAUAUUUUAACUUAUAAAAAUACGUGCAAUUGACAUAAAUACAUACCUGAAAAUACGAUGUCCACCCGUUUUAGAAUAUCUGUAAAUAUAUAACACCGGUUUAAUAUUAGAGAGAGAGAUAGUUCCCAACAGUAAAUUCAUUUCGAAAUAUCAAACAAUUCCCAGAAAAUACCUAACGCACCCAAAAGCAAAAAUAUUACUUUCACAUUGUCAGCGAUUGGGUGCAGAGAUGUAGCGGAGUCAGGCGCAGGACACAGUUUAGAGUAAAACAACCGAGUUUACUCAAUAAAACAAACAAGCAAUAUUCCAAUAAGGAAAAUACAAAACUAACACCUACAACAAUCACUAAGACACCAACAAUCACGGACAGAACAGAAAGGUAAGCCAGAGGGUAAAAUAAGGAACAUGAUGUGGGAAUUUAAAUCAGGUGUGCGUAAUAGAGACAAAACAAAACGAAAAUGAAACAUGGAUCGGUGGUGACUAGAAAGCUGGUGACUUCGACCGCCGAACACCACCCGAACAAGGAGAGGGGCCGACUUCGGCGGAAGUCGUGACACACAUCCUCACCUUAAAAAUUCUCCAUGUGUAUAGGUUUGCAGAAAAGCAGGAAACGAGUUUUCAGCUGGGCCGCUGUGUCCUGACUGAGAUAAAGUAUGGAAUGAUGUUUACAGAGCGAUGGGGAAGUUUAGUGUUUUUUGGGCGACAUCCUCAAUGCAAAAAUGAACAGAUAUGAACGGUAUUGUUUAGAAAUAAACAUUGUUUUUCAACCUUAGGGGGGCUGUCUUGACCUAUUAUAUGCAGGGUUGGCGGCAUUGCCUUUUGCUUCCUACAUCCUCGGGGGAUAUAACACCUGCUGUUUUUGGUGACACUCAGUAUGCAUAAUGAACCGUUAGUAACGGUGUUGAUUAGAAAUAACAUUGUUUUUAAACCUUAAGGGUUGUCUAGACCGAUUAUAUUCUGGCUGUGGGGGUUUGACUUUUGAGCCCCCACAUCGUCUGUUAUGGGAUUUUUGUGUUUAAUGACUAAAAUAUGUAUACAUUUGACUUAGAAUUAUAACUCAUAAAUGUUGAAUGUUAUGUGUUCCUUGUUAGAAAGAAUGGGUUUAUCUUCAGACAGGCUAGAAGGAUGUCUCUACCCAGGGAGGGGAAAGACCUUGGGUUGGUUGUAGAUAGUUUAACAGGUGGCAGACAGUAAUGAGAACUUGAACUGUAUUGCCAUUGUAUCCGAGAGGAGGUUGGACAUUAAAACCUAUGACAUCAUCUUUAUUAUAUAACCUGAUGUAAAAUGUAUUAUGAUCAGUACUCUCGAGAAUAAACGCUAUUGAUUGAUUGAUUUUAA